Molecule: unclassified non-coding RNA, 232 nt
Filed under: Hevea brasiliensis (rubber tree)
Lineage: Eukaryota; Viridiplantae; Streptophyta; Magnoliopsida; Malpighiales; Euphorbiaceae
Source: RNAcentral
CUCUCUCUCCCCUCGAUCGCCGGCAAUCUCAACUCGUUUCUCCUCUAUCGCUCCAAUCUCAGCUCCGCCAUGGCGUUCGAGAAAAUCAAGGUCGCCAACCCGAUCGUUGAGAUGGACGGGGAUGAAAUGACUCGUGUAUUUUGGCAAUCAAUUAAAGAUAAGCUUAUUUUACCGUUUCUGGAGUUGGAUAUUAAGUACUUCGACUUGGGGCUUCUUAAUCGUGAUGCUACGG